GGGAGGACUCUGCCGGGAAGCUAGCACUCUCCUAUAAGCGCAAACGUGCUUUAGGCGCGGUGAAGCUUGGGAAGCAGCAUUUGCUGUUGUAUUUGGUCUUGCUUCUGGCGUCGAAGCUCUGUCCCAUUGGACUUGUGUCUUUGAAAAUCCGUAAGGUCUGGAAAGAAAUCAACAAAAAAGUUGACUUAAAGCAGCGGUAAUCUCAGGCACUGGUGCUAAUGGAAAACAGAGUGGAGCUUGAUGCAAGGUAGCUAAUUGCAAUUGCUUUUGCCCAUUCUCAGGCACGUCCUCCC
RNAcentral lists this signal recognition particle RNA (293 nucleotides) under Candidatus Woesearchaeota archaeon. RNAcentral's name for it is "signal recognition particle sRNA". It matches the Rfam family "Archaeal signal recognition particle RNA". The record is from RNAcentral. Lineage: Archaea; Nanobdellati; Candidatus Woesearchaeota.